Molecule: long non-coding RNA, 21838 nt
Filed under: Fragaria vesca (wild strawberry)
Lineage: Eukaryota; Viridiplantae; Streptophyta; Magnoliopsida; Rosales; Rosaceae
Description: long non-coding RNA (FVES_LNC005480)
Source: RNAcentral
UCUCCCCUCACUUUUCUCUUUUCCUCCCGAUUCUCUCUCCUCCCACCCGAUUUUCUUCUCCCUCCGCCCGGAAACUUCACCACCGCCGUCCGCCGCCGUCCGGCCACCACCGACCGCCAGACUGGUCCCGUUCGGACCCUUGCCUCUUCCUCUCUCAUCCUGGACCGGUGCACGCGUGCGGAACGCCGCCGUGAAGGAGCAGUCAACCCCGAAAGGUUCGACUGCCGGAAAGGGUUUUUCGCCGGAGCUCCGUCUUCCGGCCACCAUAGGUCGUGAUUUUUGGCUCAACCUGUAGCCCUCAUCUAGGUGAGUAAUCCUUCAAAAGGUUUCGGCUAAAUUCGAUUUCGUUAGGGUGGUUUGUAUAAUUGAAAGUUUUAGGGAUUUAUGGAUGUUUUUAGUCGAUUGCCCUAGUUAGGCUUGGAAUUGGUGUUUGUGCUAGUUAUGAAAGUUGUAGAGCUUGAUGAGAGGAUUAUUCUGUCAAAAUUUCAUAGGUUUUGGAGGUCGCCGGAAUUGGCCUCCUGCCGCCGCUGCCGGCGGAGCUACCGGCGGCGCCGCCGCCGGUUAGGAAAUUUUUAGGGUUUUAAGUGUGGAAUAUUAAGAGGAGUUUAUUGAUGUGAUUUAUGGAAUUUUUGGAUGAGAUUUGGAUAGGUUUGUGAAUUUCCGAAGUUUGGAUUUUUGGCGGUUAAUUAAUGUAGAAUCCGACCGUAGGAUUUAAGUCGUAAUUUGGGGAGGUUGUAUUUACGACUGUUGAGUAUGAUAUUUAAGUUCGGAUCGUUCCGAUUUAAGAAUAUCGAAGUUAGGCAUUGAUGAGCGUAUUUAUGGCUCUCUGGUAAUUUUGCCUAUUUUGAUUAAAUAUUGGAUUAUUGGUUGGGAAAUUAAUAUUAUAUUUGGAACAGGACGUGAGGAGGCUCGAGCAGACGAGGCCCCAGAUCGACAUCAGGCUUAGGCCAAAUUUGUGAUUGGACGUUUAUUUUAAAUAAAUGCAUGCUAUGGUUCAUGGUUGAACAAUUAAUGUUGCGGAAUAUUUUAACGUCAUUUUAAUUUGACGAUUUUUAUUUCUCUUGGAGAGUUACCGAAAAUGGGAUUUUCGGUGGAUAUAAAUAUGUAUUUAUGAGAGAGUAUGUAUAUAAAUGCUAGCUAGCCAUAUGUGUCUGUCCACCUUAAUGGCGUAGCAUAUAGCCGCAUUAUGGUGUGACGUGAGCGUUGGACGUAAGCGUAGUAGCCCUAUUUGAGUGUUUAAUUCAUAUAGGGGGUAUGGACACAUAUUUAUACACCCGUCUGUCCACCUUGAUGGCGUAGUGUAGCACCGCAUUAAGGCGUGACGUGAGCGUUGGACGCGAGCGUAGUAGCCCUAUAUAGACCCAUGAAUUUAUAUAGGGAGUAUGGACGAGUGUAAAUACAUACAUAUAUUAUAGAGUCUGAGAGGCUCGAUAUUUUAUGGGAUAAAAUUUUUAUCGCUUGCGGUAUGCAUUCGAUUUUUCCUUAGAAAUUAAUUUGGGGAAACAUAAAUAUUUUAUUUAUUAUUUUAUUUUUGUCCACUCACUCUAACGUUAUUAAAUGUUUUCCCCUGGGCCCUUCGUUUUAAAUUGCCCAGUCUGCAGAGUUCGGGUUGGAUCUAGUAGGAGACGAGGCAUAGUCACCCGCAUUUCUGCCAGUUUUCGUCAGUAGGUUACCUGUUCAACCUACUCGUGUUUUCUUUCUUCCGCUUGUGUUUAGUAGCUCUGAAUACUUUGGGAUUAUUGUAUAUUAUGUGUAGAAUUUCUGAAGGAUGAUUAUGUGAUGUUCGGAAGUGUUGAAUUAAGAGUGUAAUAUGAAAUUUUUGAGUUAGGGUUGUCCAUCUGCAAGGGAGAUUUGCUUAAUCUUUUCAGUAAAUUUUCCUUGGAGGUGGUCCCCGCACGACUUACUCCGGGUUUUUGGGUGAAAUUUGGGGUGGGUCGUGUCACACAGGACAACAAAGUCAUGGUAAGGACAUAGCGGAGCUCAAGAAGCAAAUGGGUCAAGUAGUGGACUUCAUGGGAAGAAUAACUGAAUGUGGAAAGUUUCCACCCAACACCGUUCCGAAUCCCAACUUUGAAAGACUCUAAACAUUAAGCGCUGUUUGGGAGGACCUAAUUCAACACAGAUUUGCUUUCUUCUCUCUUCUUCUCUUUUAUUUAUGUUUUUGUGUGCUUUGUUUGUUUUUCGUGACUCUUUCUUCCCAUACUUUGAUUCUAUGCUUAAUCUUGUGUUACAUUAUGGACAAUGUUGGGUUUCAAUGUGGGGGAAGGAUUUACAUCUUUUUGUGUCUUUUAUUGAAAAAUAAAAUCAAAAAUCAAAAAAUUUGAAAAUCUAAAAAUAAUUUUUGUUUUCUGUUUUAGUCUUUUGUUUUGUUUUUGAGUCUUAGGAGCCCUUAACUGUACGUCUAUGAUGAGUGAUAAUCUCUGAAAUUAUGGAUAAGAUCACAAGAUGAUUUCUAACUAAUAUUCAGUUGUUAAUUGACAUGAAUAGAAAUCAUGUGAAAUGUAGUGGAUAUGAUUUGAAUCUUUGGUACAGAAAUGAGCAUGCUAAGACAAGUUUUUGAUUCAUAUGACCUUAAAUGUGAGCUUGUGAGCAUAUUUGUGUCAUUCUUUCUAAGUGAUAAUUGAAAUAUUCUGAUUCGUUUUCUUGGCUAUAAUUUUUCGAAAACCUCAUUAUUGUUUUAGUUUGAUUGAUUGCUCACCACAGCUUUUAAUGAAUUCUAGAUGACUAGAACUCACUCUUGUGGACUUUCGAAACUUUUAAUCAUAAAACGCUCUGAUUUUGAAAAGGAUAAAUGAAACUUUUUAGGAUGAUCACCAUUGCCAAACAAGCUUGUGCCCCUAUUUGUGUGUGUUGCACACCCCUUAGUUUAAACCUCUUUGAGCCUACGUUAAGUCUUUUCUUUCAUCACCAAUACAAUUUUUAUGUUGAUCUUAGUACAGUGAUAUCUCUACCCUUGUCCUUUCGGCUUAGUAGAGCAAUUGUGAUAUAUUGUAUGAAGUGAUGUUGUGAAACAAGUGUGGGGGAGUUGAAUGUCUGUGUAAAAGAAAAUGCCGUGAAAAGCAUAAAAGAAAACAAAAUUUCGGCAGAAAAAUAAAAAGAAAAAAAUGGACAUUGUCUUUGUGUUGUGAAAUGGGAGUUUUGGUUGUAAGUGGAAGGCCCAAAAACAGAAUAUUUGGCCUUUGUUCUUUUUCACAAUGUUUGAAGGUGUUUAGAAUGACGAAGGGCCCAACAAGAUGACAUUUGGCCCUUGCUUUGGCGACAUAAGGCAUGUUUGAAUGCUCUGCUAGGUCAUUAGGAAUUGUGCAAUUCCUUACUCUUCAAUUCAUAACCCUAGCCUAGCCAAAUUAAUACCUUUUAAAGUUCCUUUUGAUCUAAAAGAUGAGUAAACCUUGAUCUGUGGAGUUUGUUCCAAGAGUUGAGCCUAUGGUGUGGUUCAUUUGUGUGAGUAAUUGAUUCUUUCAUGAGGUUUAUAUCUGCUCUAUUGUGCUUUUGUUCAUAUAAAUGCAAGCUUUCUGAUUCUAUCUUGCAACUAUCGAGUGAUUUAGACAGAAAAUCUAAGUGAAAAAUGAGUGCAUAUCUUGUGAGAAUGAAUCAUACUUAUUUGAAACAUGCUGAGCUUAAAUAUCACCAUUAUUCUAUCAGGUCCUACAUGUAAAUAUGUGAUCUAUACAUGACAAUUAGCUUUUGAAACUUCAUGGAAUGAUUCUUGAUUAAGUGCUAAUUUUGAUGUCAUGAGAUUGGAGAUUCUGAGACAAUAUGUUAUGGGCAAUAGAGUUAAUUGUUUGUUGAGUCUUGUAGUUGUGUAGUUUCUGGUUUGUGUGUUUUGAGUCUUUUUGAUUGAUUUUGCCAAGAGACUAGCAAAAGCUAAGUGUGGGGGAAUUUGAUAGGUGCAUUUUAUGCAACGUUCUUAAUGUAUUUCUGACCCUAUUUAGCUAUAUAAUUCCUUUAACAAUAUUGAUUUUAACUUAGUUUGUGUUUUUAGGUUGCAAAUAAAGCCGAGGAGCACAAAAGAAACAUAUGAGGAGAAAUCUUGAAGGAAGAGGAAUCCAUAUGGCGCAAGGAAAGAAAUCAGAAAAUCUGUCAAGAAUAGUUAGUCAACUUCGACAGAGUAUUGUGAUCAGCUCACAAUGAUCCAGGAGAUAAACCUUAUAUCAACGGAAAGCUAGAAGAGUCUAGUUUCCAGAAAUUUUUGCGGAUCGUCAAUAGCUAUUUUGGAGAAGACGUUAUGACUGUUUGAGUGACCAAAGGUCAGUCUGCCCGAAUUUCUGAUUUGGACCGAAACUUCAAUUUCAAGGCCCUGACCACAACGGCGAGCCCAUGGACGAAAAUUAAAGGUUCUCUAACCCUAAUAGCAGCUGUUCAUAUGUUCUCUAUAUGUAUGAGGAGAUGUGAAAAAGGGGUCGCUCUUUGCCACAGAAAAACAACGUCUUUCAUCUCCUUCAGAAAUUCUUCUCGAAACACAAACCCUAAUUUUAGGACUUCUCUUGACGUGCCAUCUCCUUUGUAAUCCUCGGUGUAGUUCCUUGUUUCAAUACAAAGUGUAAUCUAAACUCAGACCUCAUGUUUUCUUUUACUAUCUAUUCAAUUACUUUAGUUUGUUUUCAUCUCUCUUAUUCGUUUGUGUUCAUGAGUUGGAUUUUUGAUUGAGUUUGUUCUUAUAAUCAUGAAAAUCAGAUCUGUACACUUGAGUUGUUUGUGUAAUUGAUGAUGCUUUUGAUGAUCUAAAUUGUGUUUAUGUGUGAUUGACAACUUAUGACUUGUUAUUAAUCAAUAUGUGCCAUUGUUUGUGUUAAGUCCGCGUCGGUAAACAUGAACUAGAAUGGUAAGGAGUUAUAGGUUGCAUGCUAGGAUGUUUUUGAAGUCCGCGUCGGUGAAUUACAUUCUAACAAGUUCAAGUUCUUCCUCUGAUCUAUUUUAGAUAUGAAGUCCGCGUCGGUACAUAUCUAUGAGAAGUUAGAAGGAUUUUAAGUAGUUAAGUCCCCGUCAGUAAAUUACUUGAAAUAUGGAAUUUGAUUCGUUUCUCCAUAUGCAUGAUUUAGGUUGUUAGGGUUGAAAUUGCAUAGCUACUUGAUUAUAUGAAUCUGAUUUAGUGUUUUCUUUUAUAUAGUAGCUUAGGUUUUUGUUUCUUUAUAGUUUAGGAUUUUCGUCACUCUUCUGUCCCCUGUUUUAUUUUAUUUUAUUUUCAUAUCAAACGAUCUCCGAUCCCCUUGAAAAUUUCUACAGUUGUUCCUCUGUGUGUCUAAUAUAUCUCUGUAAAUUUUCGUAUUUUUCUGAGUAGUUUGGGUUAGGUUUUUAAUUAGGUUUUCAACUACUAUUCAUUAGAAACAGUAGCUACUUUUGUAAAUUGUUUAAAGAUUUUAUUACUUGUUAAUAUUAGUCAUGUUUUACUAACGUUUUGUUUUGCAAGGUACCCUCAAUCCCCGGCCCUAUACGAUACCCUUAUUUACCUUAUGCUACUGACGAUAAAAAGGGUUUAUUUGAUGCAGGUUUUGCACCCGUCACCCGAGAUGGCUCACAAAGUCAGGUAUGAAUUUGUGGAUUUGCAGUAGUUUGUGAGUUGAUCCAUUGUGACUCUUAGAUCAAUGUUUACAGUAUCGUCCUUUUUUGGAUGGAUUACAUUGGAAUUUAGUUGUGGGAAAGUUCGAUUACACUAGUUUGUCAGCUACCGACAUUAUGUUUCUGGUAGGAACCUAUAUAUGGAAGAGAUACUCCGCCAAAAAAAGGCACCAAAUAUUCCGACAAGCGCAUAUUGGCCCCUUUAGAGUCAAUGCCGAUAGAGAAGAGACUGACAAGAGACUUGUCCUCUUUGUUUAUGACAUAGAGACGGACUUGCAACUGAGCGAAACCAUCGUUGAUAGUGCUAGUGGCUGCAUCUUUACCACAUGUGAGGACACUCCGACCGGAAAGGUUCGUCAAUGACAACAUUAUAACAUUGUUUGCUGACUAUCUAUGGCAAGACCUAGAGGAGGCAAUAGUGUUUACUUUACAGCCUAUUUCUGUCGGAAGACGAUGCAGUGCAGUAAAGAGUUAUCUUCAAGACAUGUUGUCAAUGGUGUAAGUUUGAAGGAGUUAGGUGUGAGAAGAUUUUACAAUGACAUUCCUACAUGCAAAAAGGUAUGUCACGACAUAAAACAUUGGUACCUGUUGGUGGUGCGUCUUGAUGUCCAAAUAGCUGAAAUGUGGGAUAGCUUGGGAUGUAGCAGGAGACGGAAGAAUCAGUGCAAAACCGUUGUCAAUUGUUCAUGUUUUAUUCUAAACAAAACAAAAUGACUCUUAAGCCUUGUAUUCAGUUUAUGUUAUUGGGAUCGUGCCUAAUGUUUAAUGACUGUAGCUCCAAGGACUUGACAUGAUUUACAGAAGUGUGAAAUUCACUACGAAACCCUUCGGGCCGGAGGCAAAAAAGUUUGCAGACUUCACCCUCGAUGAGCCAGCUCAUUCCCCAAAACAGGAGGGUGGAGCUGAUUGUGGGAUUUUUACAAUCAAACACAUGCAGAACUAUGGAUCAGAGUGGUGGCAUAAGGUAACCAAAAUGUCUCUUUCAGUCUUACACUUAAAUUGUAUGGCAGGAUGGUACUUGAAUCUAAAAUGGACUUUCUAAAACAAUGUAGUUUGAUUCGCACACUAUUCGCAUGGAAUUAACCAUUGACUUGGUGAGGAGCAAAUUCAACAAGUGCUAGAAAUGGAUCAAGAAAACCAUCAACGCUCCCUAAUGUAAGUGGAUCGUAGGUCAUUUUUAGGCUUUUUAAUCCCUAAUGUAGAUCAGUACUGAUAGUUUUGUAGAUCAUGUGGGUUAUCAAGUUAACGCUUGACUGAACCAAGAACAAUGAUAUUGAUAUGGUGUUACAUGUUUCACGUAUUUUACGUACUGAUAUUGAUGUUACCUGUUUCACGUAUUUUACGUACUAAUAUUGGUGUUACCAGUAUAAUCACUUGUCAUGUAUAUUGGUGUACAUAUGAUACUGCACAAAAGUAAGAAAAAACAUCCAAGCAAUAAACUGGCCUGCACAACCCACUGCUGAACUUAGAUUACACUUUAUUAUGCCAACCACGAUAAUGACUCAGUCUCAUCUAAAUAGAGUAGUUACAUCCAUAGAGCACUUGCUUAGUGAAAAUCAUCAAUAUCUAGAGAGAAUUCAGGGUCUAAAGGCCACCACCAAUAGCCUGCUGGAGGGGAAUUGGAAUUCCUGUCUUCAAAGUGAUGCAUUUCAUGUUCCCAGUAGCACAAUCCACAACUGCAUCUCUUUACGUUGUUUGGUCCAACGUUGUACAAGUGUGCGAAAGUGCCGCAUGGUCUUUUAGUAACAUCGGCUAUAUGUGUGCAAAAUCCUUCUAUCGUAGCAGAACACUGAUGAGUUUGCAUGGGGUUGACUUCCUUCUCCAGAACAACUUGAUGCUCCACAUCUGGUUUGGGGCUUAGUUGGUGUUGGCUUGCUUCUUCGACAUCCACCAUAGCAUUUUUCAGAACAGCUUCAUGCUCCACAUAUGAUUCUUUUAGCAGGUUAGACAUCUUUCAACGAAAAGGUUGUGGUCACUGAAGCACUCUUAUAUACAAACGUAUUAGGUGGGAAUUGUGAUUUCAAAUUGGUUGAAAUUGAUAUCAAAUUUCAAAAGUAACCGCCAUCCACCAAACUGAAAAUUCUAACUUGUCCCAAACCAAAUUUUUCAAGUGCCGCCAUCCACCUCAAAUUUUACGGAUCACCAGCGUGUCUUCUGUCUCAGCCGUCAAUCCUAAACCCUACUUUUCAUCUGCAUCGCACAAGGUUGAGGAACCAUAAACAAUGCCCAUUGGCCCAAACCCGGAACCCUAACUUAAUGGGUUUAGAUCAACGGAGAUGGGAUAUUUCAAGGACGGGACCUUCCUUAUUUUACCUCAAAUGUAAUUCUUGGAAAUCUUCCAACGUAAGCACCUUCUAAGUAAAGAUAUUGUUUCCAAGUGUGACUCUUCAAUCUUAUACGUGCAUAUCACCAUAUCUCAUGUAAUCAUCAUCAGAUGCCAAUAGUAAGGAAUGUAAUCUCAGUUAUAUACUUCAAAGCAAUUAGGACCUCUUUGCAUGAUAUCCUUCCUUGAUCACGUCUUCUUAACUAGCAUGAAACACGUCCAUAUUGCCUUUUCCAUGAAAGAUCUUCCAUGCUGCUCAAUAUCGGUAACCAAACAAUCAUCCAUAAUAUUUCAAGGGGUGAGGUUGAGUCUACGUAGUCAUGAUUUGCCUAUACAAUUGCUCAUGAUUUAGGUAGACCUAUGUCAUACAACAAGUGGACUUAUUUUACAAUUUUUACAAUUUAUUUUCCUUAUUUUUUGGAAUUGGUAAGGUCAUGAUUUGCCUAUACAUUGCUCAUGAUUUAGGUAGACCUAUGUCAUCCAACAAGUGGACUUACCAAUUACCCAAGACGGCUGAUCAAACCCCAAGAUGUCUGAUCAAAGCCCAAGACGUCUUAUCGGUUAAAUCGAGUUGGUCACCGCAUUAUUAUUACCGCUUCGUAAACAAGCUUGACUAUUCGAAUGGGUAAGACUUAAUGCAACCUUGCCUUUUCACUUGCCUUAUAAUGUCACAUCUCGACCCUUAAAUUUUUUUACCUUAUUUACUAGCUUAGUAUUAAUAAGAAUUUUACCGUCUCCAUCAAUAAGUUAUGGUUUAAUUGGUCCCUAGAGGGGUUUUGAGGGACGAUUAUUUCGGAGAAUUAUUCGUAGGAGAAAAAUUUGACGACGGUAAAAAUGGUAAAUUUUAGCUAGUAAAAUGUAAUUUUUAUUAGGGUAUUAUUUUUUCGGGGUAUUUUAUUUUGGAGUGGGUUGGUAUAAGGGUGUUGGACCGGGUUGGUGUGAGGCCCAAACACCAUUUCUCCUCUCUCUCUCUUCUCCUCUCCCUCCUGACUUCUCUCCCGACCCGGAAACUUUCCGGCCGCCGUUUGCUGCAGCCCGCCGCACUGGUCUCGUUCGGUCGGCUUUUAACCCAGCUAUCUCCCUGGACCGGUGGCAGCUCCUCUAGCGCCGCUGUGAGGGAGUUCUCUCCCCCGAAAGCCCUGGCUGCCGUGAUGGUUUCCACGCCGGAGCUCCCUCCUUCGGCCACCAUAGCAGGAGCUGCUUGAGUCUUUUGGAAGCUCUCCUCCCGUGCAUCAAUCCCUCCAAAGGGCUCAACCUCUCUUGGUCUAGAUAAGGAGAACCGAUGAGUGGAAGUUCUGGGGCUUUUUGUGAUGUUUUUGUUCGAUUGACCUAGUUAGGCUUGGAAUUGGUGUUUGUGCUAGUUAGGAAAGUUGUAGAGGGGGCUGAGAGGAAGCUGUUGUUGAAUUUUGGUAGGCAUUGGAGGUCGCCGGAGUCGGCCUCCUGUCGCCGCUACCGGUGGAGCGAGCGGCGGCACCGCCACUGUUAAGGGGGUUUUCAUGGUUUUAAGUGUGUUAUAUUAAGGGGAGUUUAUUAGUAUGAAUUAUGGAAUUUUUGGAUGAGUUUUGGAUAGGUUUGUGAAUUUCCGAAGUUUGGUAAUUUUGGCGGAUUAAUAAGGUAGAAUCCGGCCGUUGGAUUAAAGUCGUAUAAUCUGUGGAAGGGUGUAGUUUAGGCUGCUGGUUUUAGUGUGGAGGUGUGGACCGAAUCGAAGUUAGGCAAUGAUGAGCGAGUAUGGGUCUCGGUUAAUUUUGCCUAUUUUGUUUAAAUAUUGGAUUUUUAGUUGGGAAAUUAAUUAUAUAUUUGUACCAGGGUUCGAGGAAACCUCACUGGAGUGGCGAUUUGGAUUUCGUCGGGCUUAUGCCUAGAGUUGUGAGAGGACCUUUGUUUUAAUUGAAAAGCAUGCGAUGAAGUAUUUUGUUGAUCAUUUAUUUCUUCUGAUGAGACUUAUUGAUUUCUCGGUUAUUUGGCAAUUUUUCCUCCUUUGGAGAGUUUCCCGAAAAUGAGAUUUUCGGUGGAUAUGUAUUUUGGAUGUUUAUGAGUAUAGCAUGUAUAUAAAUACUAGCUAGCCAUACGUGCUUGGUCCGUCAUAAUGAGGUAAAAUACCAUUAUGGCGUGACGUGAGUGUUAGACACAAGCGUCAUAAGCCUAUAUGAAAACUACUUUCUUUUCUGGUUUAUUCACGUUUUCAUAUACGGAGUCCACACGUAUAUAUACACCGUCCUCUUCGGUCAUAAUGAGGAAAAAUUCCAUUAUGGCGCGACGUGAGCGUUAGACCCAAGCGUCGUAGUCUUGUAUGAAUUUCUAUUUUUCUAAUUUGUUCAUAAAAUUCAUAUAAGGAGUCUGACGAGUGUAAAUACAUACACAUAUAUGUUUAUAUAUAGUUUAGCCUAAGAGGCUCCAUUUUAUUUGAGUUGGUGACUAGCCGGAGCUAGUCGUGAAAUUGCCAGUUUAUGAGUUGAGCGCUUUUGAGCGAUCGCAUGCAGUAUAAUUUCUUUGGAAAUUAAAAUGGGAAUGCAUAAAUAUUUUUAUUAAUUUAUUUUUGUCCACUCACUCGAACGUGUUUCAAAUGUUUUCCCCUAGGCUCUUCGUUUUAAAAAUGCCCAGUUUGCAGGAUUGAAUAGUUGAGGUCGGGCGUACAUAGAGAAGAGGUAUAGUCAAUAGUAUAGCUUCCGCUCAUUAUAUUUUUUUAGUUCAUCUCCUUUCAAAUAGAAUUGCUCUGAACUGUGGUUGUUGGUUAUGAGAUUAAAUUGUUAGAGUUAGUAAUUAAAUUGGGAGAUGUUGUGAUUUGGGGAGCACGAAGGCUCCAGGAGUAGAGGGUUGUAGAAGGAUUCUUUUGAAGUGUGUGCAGGUAUUUCUAGGAAGGGUCGUCCAUCUUCAAGAGAGGUUAUGUCGAUUUUUCGGUAAAUUUUCCUUGGAGGUGGUCCGCGUAGGAUUUACUUCGGGUUUCAGGGUGAAAUUCGGGGUGGGUCUUGACAUAUAACCUCCUUUGAGUGAAACUUUUCCACCAAACCGCUAUCACCCAGUUUCCAGCAAACCAGAUAGUACCUUUCAAGCCAAACUUGUCAAUGGCAAACACAGCUCCUUCUCUUCCUCUGUUCGUAGCCAAGGUAACAAAGCAGGGGUCAAUGUAACUGAAUUGGUACGAGUGCUCAUUAUCUCCGGUUGCAUUUUUUAAUUUUUUUACUAAACCAUCUACCAAUCAUAAUCAUUUGUUUGACGUUGCAGGAGAUACCCUGGUCAUUUUCCGACAAAUACAUGGUCGGUGAUGUCGAAAAAAAAGGUCUUAUCUACUUAGACGGUUAUCCGAAAGACUGGCCAUUUUCUGUGAAACGGGGUCAUGAGUGGGUUGAGUUGCGCAAGGGAUGGGGUGUAUUUGUGAACGAGGUUAUACAGAACAAUUCUGAGGCCUACCUUGUGGUGGAUUACAUGGGAGACAUGCAAUUCAAGGUUAGGGCAUUUUACUCGGAUGGAAACAUUGUCAUUGACGUUCCCCUUUGCUUGAGCCGUCUACCUGAGCAUGCCUUUGGAUUUUACAGAGUACCGAUUUUACAUAGGACCCCGUCCUGAAUUCUGUAGGGGUGCCACCCAUGCUUCUGAGCGCCCAAUGGUAACUUUCUUCAACUUUCACUAUUGCAUUGAAGUUCCAUUGUGGUUUGUCUUGAGAGUGUUCUUAUUAUUUUAUGCAUGUUAUUAUUAACAGAUCAAUGCUCACGGACCAUUCCACAAACAACUUCUUGAUGUCGGAAUGGGUCUGUUUGAGUUUCACCUAAAGGUGACGCCGACGAUUAAAACGGUCGUGCAGUUUACUCACACAAACAGAAACUAUAUUGAGUUCGGCACCGGGUGGAACACCUUUUUGGCGUUGUACGGGAUCCAAAGUGAAGAUUUCACUAUGCCAGAUAAUGCAUCACACGAUAGGGAAAAAGCAUCGUGUGUUAAAGGUCAAAUCCGUUGUUAAUCUGAUCGUUGUCUGAUCAACAUGUCAUACAACGGCUCUGACUAACUGACACACAACGCUACAAUAAAAACCAUUGUGUGAUUCUCGACAGAUAUCAUCGACAUAUGUUGAUGAAUUAUGUCGAGAAUCACACAAUAGUUUUUGUAGAAUAUUGUUGUGUGAUUCUCAGUAGAUAUUAUCGACAGAUGCCGACACAUGCCGAGCUACUUCUCGUCAGCUGUCGAUGAUAUAUGUCGAGAAUCACACAACAGGUUUUCCAAUAAAAACCCUUGUGUGAUUGUCAAGUCACACAACGGUUUCCUUUCAAGAGUUGUUGUGUGAAUAUCAAUAAAUUUCAUCGGCAUACGUCGAGAUCAUUCGGCAUUGUAGUCGGCAACAUUUGUCCACACUCACACAAUAGUUUUCUUGCUGUAAACUAUUGUGUGAAGUUAUCUUCAUACAACGAGUUUUAAGGUUUCAUGGUUGUCUGAUUGUUAAAUAGUACACAGAGUUUUUGCUAGUAGGUAUUGUGUGAUCAAUACUCACAUAACGUAUCAAUGUUAGAAUAUAGUUGUCGGAUCAUUUAGUCAGACAACAUUGGAUUGUCAUUAACUUGUUGUAUGAUGUUGCAUUUCAUACAACGUUGGAUUAUCAUCAUUUAGUUGUAUGAUGUGCUCCAUUGAUGCCCUAAUACCAAAUUUACCUAAUGAACAAUAUUACAAGUGAUAUUUCCAAACCAUCCAAAGCAUUGUUAACAUUCAAACAACCAAAAUAUGAUAUAAAGAAUCCAAUGCAUUGUUAACAUUAACAUGACAUGUAAAACAUAUGCCCAUCAUCCUAACAACCAUUAAAAAUAAGAAAAGCAUUCAAAUACAUGCCCAUCAACUAGGGACAUCAAAAGCUAGCUGAUACCUAGUAUCAAUUGUACUAAAAACAUGCCACAUAUCAUGCAUGAAUAUUGUACCAGCUGAGAAGCACAAAAAAGAUGUUUUCUCUGAACAAGAAGAUAAUACGUCAAUCACGGCUUACUUCACAUACUUCUUGACAGCAAAGUCUGCCCACUCAUUUCUCACCUCAUCCAAAUCUUCCUGAGUGUAUUUGCAGCUGCCUCUCUUGUCCCACUAAAUUAAACAAAGAACAAAAAUUAGAUAUAUAUAUAUAUAUAUAUCCAAUCAAGCCCCUAGAGGCAUAAGCUGUAUAUCUGCUAUCUCAAUCUAGAUAUACAUAUAAACCAGACACAACACUUGGUUUUUCAGUUAUCAUUGUAACUUAACACUGCUAUAUAUAUAUAUAUAUAUAUAUAUAUGAUAAACAUAAUAAACAUAUUAAUAAGAUCUGUUAGUUAAUCUGAGAUUGAUGAAGAUUCAAUGAACCAGACACUAAGAUCCAAAAAGGAACCAUUCCCACUUAUUCAACAAAACACCAAAAAUGAUAGAUCAAAACAAUAAGUUUACAACAUAAAUUCCAUUAGGCAACAAAUUAAUAAGAUCUGUUAGUUAAUCUGUGUAUCCAUACCAGCUAGCUGUCACCCUUUUAGGAAAAAUUAAAAUUAAUACCCGCAGUAAUGAUUGACUGACUUUGCUAACAAAGAUCAGAUCUCAGUCCUAUAAUGGAGAUAUCACUUCAAGUCAAAUACCAAUUCUAAUCAUUUCAUCAAGUCAGGGCACCAGAAUUAGCAGUAUAAUCUUCUGUUUAGUCUGUCUAUUUUGUAGUAUUUGAAUCAUUAAGUUGGUGGGAAAAAAUAAAACUAUUCUAGUCUCUGAUAUAUAGUACUGCUCCAUGGAACUCCAAAUAUAUAAUAAACAUAUUAUUAAUACUUAAGCUCUAUUGAAUGACUCUCCAAAAACAGAUUUUAUAUCUUGGCAACAAACCGUGACGUGUUUUUGUCUUCGAUUAUUUCCCUCAUGUAUCGCAUGACAUAGUAUCCACAUUCCUUGUCGCUUGGUUGGAAAGGCAUGCCCUAAAAACAAACCAUUACAAAACAAUUCCACACAACUAAGAUACACUGAGACAUCUACUACUUAAAAUGCAGAUGACACUCACAGCCAAAUUUUUAGGGAUCAUUGAGCUUCGUCCAUUCCUCUUUCUUGCAGUGUUAGCCAUAGCCAUUGCACUAAAGAAGACAAAAAAAAUAAAUGGAUGUAAGGGAGACUGUCACACCCCGGUUCUUAAGUUAUUUUUAUGGUUAUUUACUUUUGGUAUUACUUUGGUCUUUUACCGUUUUAAGAAACCGUUUAUUAUUUAAGACUCCAAAAGUUGACUUUUUCUUUCAUUUGGAAUUUGGGAAAACUUUCUUCAAGAAAGUCGUAGAGGACAUUAAUAUGAAUUCGUAGACAUGCUAUACGUUACAAUCGGAGUUAGCGUGAAAAAGUUAUCAAAUAAAAGGGUAAAUUUUGAGUUGGUAAAAAGGGGGGUAAAAAUUUAGUGGGUUUUAUUUUUUUGGUGGGUGUUUAAAUUGGACCGGGUAGGUGUGGAGAAGCCCAACACCCACCCACACUCUCUUUCUCUCUCUCUCCCUCUUUCUUCUCUCUCUCUCUCGUGAGAUCUUGGUAGGGAGAAAUGUAUAAUUGAAGUUCUAGGGUUCAAUUUAAGGUUUUGAUUUGAUUACCCUAGUUAGGCUUAGAAUUGAACUAAGUGCUAGUUAUGGAAGUUGUUGUGCGUAUUGAGAGGAUUGUUGUGUUAAAAUUUGGGAAGCAUUGGAGGUCGCCGGAGUACGGUUGCCGGCUGAGCAGGCGGCGGCGCCGCCCCUUAAAGGCAGUUUUUCAUGUUUUUGAGAUGGUUUUAAUGAAAGGGGUUUAAUGAAGUAAAGUUUGGAAAUUUUGGAGGAGUUUUGAUAAGGUUUGGGAUUUUCCAAUGAUUAAUGAUUUUGGCGGUGAUUAGAAUGAAAAUCUGUCCGUUGGAUUUCCUUGGUAUUUAUUCUAGAAUGUUAAAAUUGAUGAAUUGAGGUUUUGGUGGAGUUUGGCGUGAAUCCGACAAGCUUAACCCUAGUAAGAGUGGUGGAUUAAGUGGAAGAGAUUUGAGGGUUUAUAUUCAAGUAUUUAUUUUCCGGAAUUGAAGUUUGGUCCUAAGCAUAUUUAUUGUGCCAGGAUAUGAAGGGAACCUCGCUUGAGUGGUGAUGCGGAUAUCGUCGGGCUUAUGCCUAAAUCUGUGAGUGGACAUUUUGGUUUUAAAUAAAUAUGCAUGCAAGAUUUUUAUAAUUUAUUAUUUUAUUUUCCGAGCGUAUAUUAUAAUUUCGACUUAUGAAAUGAUCUUGGAAUUUAUUUGAGUUUGAUGCAUUGAUUAAGUGUUGGUCAUGAUUUAUGGAUUUGAGCUCGGAUUAUUAUUUUGAUAUUUGAGUUUGGAUAUUCUUUAUAAAUUCCGGAUUUUAUUAUAAUGAUUGUUUAAAUGGUAGACUUUGAGAUUUAUAAAAGAUUUCCGAAAAUAGGAUUUUCGGUAAUUCUCUUUUUAUAACUAUCUCAUUUAUUUGUGGAUUAUCAAUCUUGGCAUUGAGAAUCUUUUAGCGAGUAUUUUCGGAGGGAGGAAUUAUUUACAAUUUAUACUUGUUAAUUAAACUCGCUUAUAUUAUGGAUUUGAGAAUAUUUUGACGUGUGAGACACGUCAUUGAGUUUAUUUUAAUUUCUUAUGAUAAUUUCCAAGAACGGUUGGGAACCGUACCAUUCGUAUGAUCUUGAGGCAGUUUAAUGGAUUUAAAUGAUUUCGUAUGUUUUUAGUCACCAUAAUAUAGGGUUGCUUAUAUUGAUUAUUGCUAGCUAACCAUUAUUAGCGGUCCUCAUCAUAUGUGAGUUGAGCGCUUAGCGUGGGACGUUAUUAUAGCCUGAGAGGCAUCGACCCGAGACGUAGAGGCUCCUUUUACAUGGUGAUAAAUCUUCCCCUUAUUUUAUUCGUCUCAGUUAUGAAAUUAAUUGAUUAACCAGCGGGGCUGGUUUGUCUCUGCUUUCGAUAUUUUUGUAUAUGAUUUAUCAAAGUUUGCGUGCAGCUAAGUUUUUAAAGUUGUAAUUUGGGAAAGUAUUCAAAUUGCGUAUUUGUUAAAUUAUUUUGUCAACUCACUCUAACGUUUUUAAAUUACUUUCCCCUGGGCCCUUUGGUUUUAAAUGCCUGGUUUGCAGGCUAGGUAUUUGAGGUCGAGCGUACAUGGAUUCGAGGCAUAGUCAGAGGCUGCUUCCGUUUAAUCUUUAUUCAUUAUUAUUCUUUCAUUAUUAGAUAUGCUCUGGUAACCAGUUAGUGAAUUAUUUGUCUAUUGUUGGUUGUGGGAUUAUUUUAAAUGAGUAAUUGUUAUAUUGGGAGGUGAGAUGAACAUGGGGAGCAGGAAGGCUCCAGGUGUUGAGGCUGGUAUGUUUGGUUAUAGAAGUGUAAGUUGGAUUUUUUAGGUAAGGGUUGUCUAUUUUCAAGGAAGACUAUGUCGAAUUUUUGGUAAAUUCUUCUUGAAGGUGAACCCCGCAGGAUUUACCUUGGGUUUCAGGAUGAAAUUCGGGGUGGGUCCUGACAGUUGGUAUAUACAAGACAUCCCACUUCUUAUUACCUCAAUUUGCACAAUGAACAGUGGAACUUACUCUUUUACAAUCUUCGCCCAAUCUCCACAUGGUAUACGUCUUCUCGCAGGAUCCAUGAAGUAGACAGUGUCAUUAUCCGGAUCAACAACAGUCAACUCCAGUGAUCGCUACCACAUAAAAAAAUUUCAUAUACAAUAUUUAGCAAACAAUACCCGAGUACCAUUCCCACAGUUCAACCAUAAUUACUAAAACCAUUUAUUUAUACCAAAACUUGAAAACCAGCAUGGACUUACCCCGAGUUAUAUGGCAACAUGAACACUUGACCCGGUUUGGCAAUUGCAAGCCUUUUAGCUAUAUUUUUGGUCCUCUGAGUUCCAGUCCCAUACCCUACUGCACCAAUUUGGGAAGGGUGAACAAACACUACCAUGUCCACCAUUCUAUAAGCUUCCAACUUGCUGUAUAGGUACCUAACAACCAUACCAACACAUUAUCUUUCAGCAAAGCCUACUUAUCAAGAGAAUUACAAUAAAAUCACAAGCAAAAUAUGAUAUUGCAUAAUUUAUACCUCUGGUAAGAAGCAAUCAAGUUUCCAGUGACUUUUCCCAUGGUUGCAAUAACCACAACAUCCUUUUCGGUAAUAUAGCUGCUGCAAAUAUAUCCAAAUACUUCAGGUUCAAUGUUGGAACUGAGUUCUCGACCAUCCUUGAAUACGGUACAUAGUGUCUCAUAUGAUCUAGAUAACAUAGGUGCAAGUUGUCACAUCCCGACCCUUAAAUUUUUACCUUAUUUACUACCUUGGAAUUAAUAAGAAUUUUACCGUCUCCGUCAAUGAGUUAUGGUUUAAUUGGUCCCUAGAGGGGUUUUGGGGGACGUUUAUUUCGGAGGAAUUAUUCGUAAGAGAAAAGUGUGACGACGAUAAAAAUGGUAAAUUUUAGCUAGUAAAAGGUAAUUUUUAUUGGGGUAUUAUUUCGUGGUGUUUUUUUUGGAGUUGGGUUUAUUGUUUAGUGUGGGUAUUAAAUGUUGGACCGGUUUGGGGAGGCCCAAACCAUUUCUCUUUUCUCUUUUCUCUUCCUUCUCUUCUUUCCCGACUCUCCCUCUUCCUCUCGCACUGCUGGAAACCCCCGAGCUCCCAUCGCCGUCGUCCGGCCAAGAGGAGACGCCACACCGGUCCAGCUCAAUCUGUCUCCCUCACCACCGUCUUCCUAGGCUGGUGAGCGGCGCUGCAACGCCACCGAGCGGAGGAAGUCCUCCUUGGAAGCUCGGUGGUCUUCUCGCCGAAACUCUCUCCUCCGACCGCCAUAGCCAGCGAUUCUUGGCUCGUUUGGAAGCUCUCCUCCCAUGCAUCAAUCCCUCCAAAGGCUUCCCUCCCCCUUGGUAGGUAAGGAGAUUUUGGUGUUGGAAAUACUGGGGCUCAUUUGAUGUUUUUGUUCGAUUACCCUAUCUAGGCUUGGAAUUUGUGUUUGUGCUAGUUAGGAAAGUUGUAGAGGGGGUUGAGAGGAAGAUGCUGUUAAAUUUUGGUAGACAUUGGGGUUCCCGGAGUCGGCCGCCGGCCGCCACUGUUAGGGGGAUUUUCAUGGUUUCAAAUGUAUAAUAUUAAGGGGAGUUUAAUGACGUGAAGUGUUGAAUUUUUGGAGGAGUUUUGGAUAGGUUUGGGAUUUUUGAUAGAUUGGUGAAUUUAGCGGUUAAUGGGGUAAAAUCUGACCGUUGGAUUUUCUUUAUUAUUGUUUCAGAAUGUUGAAAUAAAGGAAAUAAGGCUGUGGUUGGAUUUUAACGUGAAUCUGAUAAGCUUAACCCUAGAAAAGGUAGUGGGUUAGGCGGAAGAGUUUUGGGUUAUAUAUUGAAGUAUUAUUUAUUCUGAAAUUGAAGUGUGGUCCUAAGCAUGGUUUUUGUGCCAGGAUUUGAGGAGAACUCACUUGAGUGGUGAUUUGGAUUUCGUCAGGCUUAUGCCUAGAGUUGUGAGUGGACUUUUGUUUUAAAUAAUGUGCAUGCAAAUGGUUUAUUGAUGAAUAAUUUCUUGUGUUGGAGAAUAACCGAAAUUGACAAUUUCGGUGAUUAUAUAUUCAUAUAUGGAUGAUUAUGAGGAUAGUAUGUAUAUAAAUAAAUCCUAGCUAGCUAUACGUGCUUUUCCGCCAUAUGAGGAAAAAUUCAAUGAUGGUGUGACGUGAGCGUUGGACGCAAUCGUUAUAGCCCUAUAUAAAUUUAGUAAUUUAUAUAGGGAACACGUAUAUAUACACUCAUGCUUUUCCGCCAUAAUGAGGUAAAAUUCCAUUAUGGUGUGACGUGAGCAUUAGACGCAAGCGUAGUAGCCUUGUAUGAAUUUCUAUUUUUCUUAUUCUUCAUAAGAAAUCAUACAAGGAGUAUGACGAGUUUAAAUACAUACAUAUAUAUAUAUGUAGUUUAGGCUGAGAGGCUGUAUUUUAUUGAGUUUUGGAGACUAGCCGGAGCUAGUUAUGUAAUUGUCAAUUGAUGAGUUGAGAGCUUUUGAGUUGUCGCAUACAGUAUAUUUUCUAUGGAAAUUUAAAUUGGAAAAGCAUAAGUAUUUUUCAUUAAAUUGAUUUUUGUCCACUCACUCUAACAUUUUCAAAUGUUUUCCCCUGGGCCCUUCGCUUUUAAAAUGCCCAGUAUGCAGGUUAGGAUAGUUGAGGUCGGGCGUACAAGGAGAAGAGGCAUAGUCAAUAGUAUAGCUUCCGCUCAUUUUUAUAUUUCUAGUUCUUUUCCUCUCAAAUAGAGUUGCUUUGAACUAUGGUUGUUGAUUAUGAGAUUUUCUUUUUAAAGUUAGUAAAUAAAUUGGGAGAUGUUGUGAUUUGGGGAGCAUGAAGGCUCUAGGAGUUAGAGUUCAAUUGCGAGUUGGGAACUCCAUGUCACAUCCCGACCCGUAAAUUUUUACCUUAUUUACUAGCUUGGUUAUAAUAAGAAUUUUAUCGUCUGCGUCAUUGAGGUUAUAGUUUAAAUGGUCCCUAAAUGGUUUGGGGGACGGGUAUUUUCGGAGGAUUGUAAAUUUUAGCUAGUAAAAGGUAAUUUUUAUUAGGAUAUUAUUUUUUUGGGGUGUUUUAUUUUGGAGUUGGUGUGGGUAUAUAGGUGUUGGACCAGUUUGGAGAGGCCCAAACCCAUCUCCCUCUCUUUCUUUUCUCUUUCUCUCUCCCAGUUUUCCUCCCGAGCCAUCACCCUGCCGGAACUUCAACCCGACCAUUCGCCGCCGUCCGGCCACCACCUGCCGCCGCACCGGUCCCGUUCGGUCGGCCUCCAACCCGGCCAGCUUCUAUUCUAGGCCGGUGAGAGCCUCCCUAGCUCCGCCGUGAAGGAGUUCUCACCCCCAAAAGGUCCGGUUGUCGUGGUGGUUUUCUCGCCGGAACUUCCUCCUUCGGCCGCCAAAGUCGGCGAUCCUUGGCUCAAAAGAAAACUCCCCUCCCGUGCAGCAACCCCUCCAAAGGGCUCACUCUCUCUUAAGCUAGGUAAGGAGAAAUGUGGAUUUGAAUUUUCUAGGGCUUCUAGGAUGUUUUUGCUCGAUUGACCUAGUUAGGCUUGGAAUUGGUGUUUGUGCUAGUUAGGAAUUUUGUAGAGGGAGUUGAGACAAAGAUGCUGUCAAAAAUUGAUAGGCAUUGGAGGUCGCUGGAGUCGGCCUCCGGCCGCUGCUGUGAGGGAGAUUUUUAUGGUUUUAAAUGUGGAAUAUUUAGGGGAGUUUAUUGUUUUGAAUUAUGGAAUUUUUGGAUGAGUUUUGGAUAGGUUUGGGAAUUUCCGAAGUUUGGUAAUUUUGGCUGAUUAAUAAGGUAGAAUCCUGCCGUUUGAUUAAAGUCGUAUAAUCUGUGGAAGGGUAUAGUUAAGGCUGCUGGUUUUAGUGUUGAGGUGUGGACCGUAUCGAAGUUAGGCAAUGAUGAGCGUGAGUAUGGCUCUCGGUUAAUUUUGCCUAUUUUGUUUAAAUAUUGGAUUUUUAGUUGGGAAAUUAAUUUUACAUUUGGAAACAGAAACAGGACGUGAGGAGGCUCAAGCAGAAGAGACCUCGGAUCGACGUCAGGCUUAGGCCUAAAGUUGUGAGUGGACCUUUGUUUUAAUUUAAAAGCAUGCGAUGAAUUAUUUUGUUGAUCAUUUAUUUCUUCUGAUGAGACUUAUUGAUUUCUCGGUUAUUUGGCAAUUUUUCCUCCUUUGGAGAGUUCCCGAAAAUGAGAUUUUCGGUGGAUAUGUUUAUUGGAUGUUAUGAGUAUAGUAUUUAUAUAAAUGCUAGCUAGCCAUACGUGCUUGCUCCGUCAUAAUGAGGUAAAAUACCAUUAUGGCGUGACGUGAGUGUUAGACACAAGCGUCAUAGCCCUAUAUGAAAACUACUUUCUUUUCUGGUUUAUUUAGGUUUUCAUAUAGGGAGUCCACCUGUAUAUAUACACCGUCCUCUUUGGUCAUAAUGAGGAAAAAUUCCAUUAUGGCGCGACGUGAGCGUUAGACGCAAGCGUCGUAGCCUUGUAUGAAUUUCUAUUUUUUUCUAAUUUGUUCAUAGAAUUCAUACAAGGAGUCUGACGAGUGUAAAUACAUACACAUAUGUGUUUAUAUAUAGUUUAGCCUGAGAGGCUCCAUUUUAUUGAGUUUGGAGACUAGCCGGAGCUAGUCAUGUUUUGGCCAAUGUGUGAGUAGAAAGCUUUGAGCUGUCGCAUGCAGCAUAAUUUCUAUGGAAAUUAAAUCGAGAAAGCAUAAAGAUUUAUUUCUUUUCAAAUUUAUUGUUGUCCACUCACUCUAACGUUUUCAAAUGUUUUCCCCUGGGCCUUUCGUUUUAAAAAUGCCCAGCUUGCAGGUUAGCUUAGUUGAGGUCGGGCGUACAUACAGAUGAGGCAUAAUGAUCAUAUAGCUUCCGCUUGUUAAUUUAUUAUGUUUCAUUUCUUCUUAUUAGAGUUGCUCUAAACCUAUAAAGGGUUGGAUAUGACAUUUGUUUAGAUUAGUAAUUAAUUUGGGUGGUGUUGUGAUUUGGGGAGCACGAAGGCUCCAGGAGUUUAAGGUUGGAUUUAAAUUUUCAGAAGUGUUUGCAGGUUUUAUUAGGAAGGGUUGUCCAUUUUCAAGGGAGGUUAUGUCGAAUUUUCGGUAAACUUUCUUUGGAGGUGGUGGUGGUCCCCGCAGAAUUUACUUCGGGUUUCGGGGUGAAAUUCGGGGUGGGUCCUGACACUCUAGUUGGGAACUCAUAUGUGUGGCAGCAUUCCUUUCAUUUGACCAAUGAUUGAUUGGGUUAUGAUUAAGAUGCUAGGGUGAGCAUCUCGUGCAAAUUUGUAGAAGGUGAAAAGUUUAAUUCAAGCCUUGGAUUUCACUAAUUAUAGUGGGCAAGUGUGAAGUUGUUGUAGUUCGAUAGAAAAUCUUGGCUUCGAGUUACGUGAUUUCUGAGAGAAAAUAUAGUUGGAAAGAAAAUUCGAAGUAGUGGUGUAUUCUUUUUAUGUUAAAGUUAAUUGAAGUGUUAUGGUGGGGUACCUAUAGUAACUCUUAGAGGUACAUUUAUGAGUUGUUGCGGACGCUAAGCUUGAGCGAUUUAGUCACGUGGGAAUUGUGGCUAGUGUUUGAGUUGCAAGG